GACAGAGGGUGCAAACGUUGUUCGGAAUUACUGGGCGUAAAGCGUGUGUAGGCGGCUUCGCAAGUCGGAUGUGAAAGCCCCGGGCUCAACCCGGGAAGUGCACUCGAUACUGCGAAGCUUGAGUGUCGGAGAGGUUGGUGGAAUUCCCGGUGUAGCGGUGAAAUGCGUAGAGAUCGGGAGGAACACCAGUGGCGAAGGCGACUCUUUGGCCUGUAACUGACGCUGAGGCGCGAAAGCGUGGGGAGCAAACAGG
This 253-nucleotide ribosomal RNA is filed under the name uncultured bacterium. RNAcentral's name for it is "partial 16S ribosomal RNA". It matches the Rfam family "Bacterial small subunit ribosomal RNA", at positions 524 to 776 of the family's 1533-position model. The record is from RNAcentral.